UGUAGCGCGGUGGUCCCACCUGACCCCAUGCCGAACUCAGAAGUGAAACGCCGUAGCGCCGAUGGUAGUGUGGGGUCUCCCCAUGCGAGAGUAGGGAACUGCCAGGCA
RNAcentral lists this ribosomal RNA (108 nucleotides) under Citrobacter youngae ATCC 29220. The record is from RNAcentral. Lineage: Bacteria; Pseudomonadati; Pseudomonadota; Gammaproteobacteria; Enterobacterales; Enterobacteriaceae.